GCAUUUGGCGGGGUCUUUGUCUCUCGCUCCCGCCAGAGCUUGGGAUCGGUCUUCACUGUUCCGCGUCCUCCACCUGGGAACCCCCGACCCCCGCCCGGCGACUUUGUCACAGACUCUGUUGCCUUGUGAUCUGCAGGUCCUGGGAGACGCACAGCUAAGAUGCCAGGGCAACCUGGAAGCUGUGAAGUGGUUAUGUGAAUCCUCUUCUUCCCAGACCCUGCCAAAAGGAAAGAUUGUGACAUAUCACUGGAACCAGCACUUAGGCUAUUGUGACAUAUGCCUGAGGCUAACACCCAGAUGAUAUAAGUCUUCAUCCUGGACCCUGUCUACAGAAGUCAUUGCGAUAUAUGUCUUCACCAAUCACUGAGGUCGAACGCCCAGUGAUGUGACUCUCCUUCUUGGUCCAUGCCCUCAGGGAAGAUGAUGACAUACCCCGGCCCAGCACACAGUUAAUGUCACUCUUGUGCUUGCUGUCUACCCAUGGGUAGGAUUGUGACAUAUAUCGUGGCCAAGCACAAAGAUGUAAUGACUGUCAUACCUCGAAGAAAGCAAUAGAGUUAAUGUUGCUCCUAGGUAGGCUUAGGAAAAUGAGGAAGUCGUCUUUCUGUUCAAAUCUCACUCUCUGACAUAUAUAAAGCCCUAGUGUGUUACAGAGAAUGUCAUAACAGGGCUCCUCACACAGGUGAGAUCGUGUUCUAUACACAGCCCACCAAUCUUGAGAAUUGUCACCCUCACACAUGGACAGAGUCCACUGGUGAAGUCCUGAAUCACACAUGAAUGCAGUUCACAGUUGGAAUUGUGACUGUCAUCAUUGAACAUCUGGCCACAAUUUGGAUGGUGAUUCUUUUUUUUUUUUUUUUUUUUUUUUUGAGACAGAAUCUUGCUCUGUCACCCAGGCUGGAGUGCAGUGAUGCAAUCUUGGCUCACUGCAACCUCUGCCUCCUGGGUUCAAGCAAUUCUCCUGCCUCAUCCCCCUGAGUAGCUGUGAUUACAGGCACCCGCCACCAAGCCCAGCUAAUUUUUGUAUUUUAAGUAGAGACAGGGUUUCACCAUGUUGGCCAGGCUGGUCUCGAAGUCCUGACCUCGUGAUCUGCCCACCUCAGCCUCCCAAAGUGCUGGGAUUACAGGUGUGAACCACCAUGCCCGGCAGUGAUUCAUUUCUAAACCCAGCUUGUUAAAAGGUGAGGACUCUCCUAUCUGGACUAAACCAAUUGGAUAGAUGUUGAUGCUCAUAUCUGGGCUUGGAACCACAGGAAAGAUCUUCUUGGACAAAGGUCACAGAGGAUUACCACUCUUGCAUAUUGUAUAAAUCCAUCAAGUGAAACUAUCAUAAGAGAACAUAGCACAUGCGUGAGAUUUUGUCUUUUGAAUGUAUACCCAGGCAACAGUAAAGAUUGUCAUUCUCCCAUAUAAACACAUCUCACUGUUGAGGUUCUGAAUGUCAGACACAGAGACUGUGAAAAGUUGAAUAAUUGACUCUCACGUGGAUCUGGACUAGAGGUGGACUGGUGACUCUCAGAGCAAGAUUCAGCACACAUAAGAGUCUGUGACUUCACUGAAAGGACAAGCCUGCAGAAGAAAUUGUGGCUUUCCUGCCCACAUUCUGUCAACCAUUGAUAUUGUGACUCACAUACUUAGACCCAACAUACAGAAAGUGUUGACUCAUACCUAGCACCUGGACAUAUAUGGAAUUUCUACUCUAAUUCCUGGACUUUUCUGCAGGUGUGAUUGUAUGCAUCUGCUACCCACCUUAGUGAUUUGACUUUGCUGCCUUGGCCCAGCCCACAGAUGAGAUUGUGACAUAUCGCUUGACUCUGCACCUUGAUGGUGCAAUCUCCACUCACUGCAACCUCUGCCUCCCAGGUUCAAGUGAUUCUCCUGCCUCAGCCUCCUGAGGAGCUGGGAUUACAGGCAUGCACCACCACACCCAACUAGUUUUUGUAUUUUUAGUAGAGACGGGGUUUCACAUGUUGGUCAGGCUGGUCUCGAACUCCUGACCUCGUGUUCUGCCCGCCUCAGCCUCCCAAAGUCCUGGGAUUACAGGUAUGAGCCACCAUGCCCGGCCUCGCUGGGCCUUUCACCCAGAUGAUGUGAGUUAUUUUUCUUGCAUUGGUAUUGCUCACAGGGUGCAUUGUGACAUAUUUCUAAGCCCUUCACUCAGGUUAUGUGACUACUUUUUUGCCUGUGCCCUAACUAUUUUGCAUGUUAGGACAUAUUAUGAGGCCCAACACCUAUAAAAUAGAGGCUCCUCCCUGGGCCUUGUCUACAGAGGGCCUUGUGACAUAUCUCUGCAUCAGUCACCUAGGAAAUGUGACUCCGUUUUGCCUGCACUCUGUCCACAGGAAACAUUGUGACUUAUCACUAGGCCCAGGUACUAGUUGAUGUGUCUCUGGUAACUGGGCCUUGACCACAGAGAGGAUUGUUACCUAUUGCUGGGCUCAGCCCCCAUGUGGUGUGACUGUACUGUCUGUGUCCUGCUUUCAGGAGAAGGCUGUAACAUUCCUGGUUGAGUAUUCAGGUGAUGUGACACUCCUGUUUGGUCCCUGCCUUCAGAAAAGAUUGUGAUGUACUCCUGGCCAAAAACCCAGGUGAUGUGACUCUUAUCUCUUCCUAUUCACAGAGACAUGGUUUCAGCAUGUUGGCCAGGCUGGUCUCGAGCUCCGUACUUCAAGUGAUCUGCCCGCCUCAGCCUCGCAAAGUUCUGGGAUUACAGGCAUGAGCCACCGCGCCCGGCCACAAGUGUGGUGAUGACUCUCAUACCUCAAACCAGCCAAUAGGAGAGAUCCUGUUUCUUAUAGCUAGGCUUAAAAUUUCUUAUAGCUAGGCUUAAAAUCAUGAGUAUGGUCAUGGGUCUUCUUGUACGAAGGUCCUAGAGAAAUACCACUUUCUUUUAUACUAUAUAAAUCUCUUACUGUACAGAGAUUGCCAUUCCAGGGUUCAGAACACAGGUGAGAUUGUGUUUCUCAUAUGCAUACCCCAGCAAACAUUAGAAUUGUCAUCUUCACACAUGGACAGGGUCCACUGGUAAGUCCUGAAUCUCACACAUGGAAAAAAUCCACAGUUGAAAUUGUGACUGUCAUAUAUGAACAUCCGGCCAGAGUUGAAAUGAUGAGUCAUUUCUAAAUCCAGUUUAUAGGCAAGUGAGAAUUUUUCUAUCUGAACCUGAGAGAAUAAAAGGUGGUUUUGAAUUAGACAAAAUAGAGCCAAAAGUUCAAACAAAUGGUGGAAGGAUUGUAAAAAUCUUGCAAAGAAUUCCAUGUGUGGUUAUAUUGACUAAAUUCAAAAAGGUACUACAUGGUUUUUCUGUAAAUAAAAAAUUGAAAUAAAAGCACAACAAGGUACUCGUAAUGCACUAAUCUGCUUUUUAGCAAACUUUGUUAACGGUUAUAACAGAUUGUUGCUUCUUUAAAAUUUUGGAGUCAUUGUAACAAAAUAAAUAAUUUACGAUAAUCUGAAAUUCUAUUUUAUAACAUCAAGUGUUUCAAAUCUCUAACACUUAACAUGCUUCCCAAAAUCAUACUUUAGUUUCAAAAUUGCCUUUCCUGAUUCCUGACUUUUGGAUACUUCAGAGGGCCCCUGGAGUAUCCAAAAGAGAGGUAAACAGAAUUAUUUGACAUGUUUAGGUACAUGAGAUUGGCAAAAUGGUGUUUAUUCCAUCUUUAGGUUAUAUUUUGGUGAAUAAUACUAAUAUAUGUUCCAAAAUUGUUUGGGAUUUCUAAAAUUCUAAUAUAUGGUAUCAAUGGUAAUUAAGGUUGUUAUGUUAAGUUAUUGUAAACCACAGAGAUAGCCAAACUUCUUUGUCAAUUGUGUUUCUAACUGUAACUAACCUGGACAUUUUGUUAUUCACAGACAAGUGUUGUCUUGUUUUAAUUAUUUUUAAAAGAUGGUUUAUAUUAAACUAUAGAACUUUCACAGGUGCUUUCAAAUACAGGUUUCUGAUAGCCUUGGAGAUUGUGACAUUGGAAUAAAGGAAAAAAGGACAGGAUUCAGGGCCGGGUGUGGUGGCUUACACCUGUAAUCCCAGCACUUUGGGAGGUCAAGGCAGGUGGAUCACGAGUUCAGAUCGAGACCAUCCUGGCUAACACGGUGAAACCCAGACUCUACUAAAAAUACAAAAAAUUAGCAUGGUGGCUGGCACCUCUAGUCUCAGCUACUCGGGAGGCUGAGGCAGGAGAAUUGCUUGAACCUGGGAGGCGGAGGUUGCAGUGAGCUGAGAUCACACCACUGCACUUUAGCCUGGGCGACAGAGAGAGACUCCAUCUCAGAAAAAAAAAAAAAAAAUGCACAGGACUCAUGAGGAGCUAAAAUGUUCACAAAUAUCAAGCAAAACAAGAGUUAAGUAAAUGGACUGCACUCAGAAAACUAAAGCAACCUUUUUGACUUUUGCUUGGUAUAUUGCUGAUCCUUCUUUAAUUUUUUAGAGUCAAGGAAACUUGUUUUUAACUACUAUUUAUGGCCUUCAAUAAUUGAGUAAAGUAUACUCCUAUGAACAAAAUUAGGAAUAUGUUUGUUUUUCUCUGCCUCUUUCCUCUAGAAUUUGGAAACUAUCUGUGAGUAUUCUCAACUUAUGGCAAUAUAGUUGUUUGUAUGAGUGCAAUAAGAAUCCAUUUUCUUUAGCAACAGGAUGCAACUGGAGAAACUGUUUGUUUGUUUGUUUUAACCAAGGCUUUGACUGAAAGGGUAUGCUUCCCUUUAAAGAGUCAAGCUUGACUUGCAGAGAUGAUAAAAGCCCCUUGAAAAAACUGCCCUCAUAUCCUUGUCUACACAGUCUCUGUACAGCGUUCCUGACCUGUGGUCAGUGAAAAAUAUCACUUUUUAACAGGCCUAGGAGCUCCAAGUUUAUCUUGGGACCUUAAAAGGAAAGGAUUACCCAGCUCACAGGUAUUUGAGGAUACAAACACAUGGCUGUGCUCAGCUUUAGAAGGUCUUAUUCCUUGUGGAACAGAUUUCCAUCGAAGCCAAUCUAAAAGGCCUAUGUAGAGAUAGUCAUUUUUGCUCACCUUAUGCAAAUAAUCAGGGCAAGUAUAGGACUAAAGGCUAUGUUGCAAACAACUCAGUCCUGUUAUGAUUUUUUCUUUUCUUUUUUUUUUUUUUAGAUGGAGUCUCGCUCUGUCACCCAGGCUGGAGUGCAGUGGCGCAAUCUCGGCUCACUGCAUCCUCCGCCUCCCAAAUUCAAGCAAUUCUCUGCCUCAGCCUCUUGGGUAGCUGGGAUUACAGGUGCCCGCCACCAUGCCCUGCUAAUUUUUGUAUUUUUAGUACAGACAGGAUUUAGCCAUCUUGGCCAGGCUGCUCCUAAACUCCUGACCUCAUGAUCCACCCACUUCGGCCUCCAAAGUCCUGGGAUUACAGGCGUGAGCUACCAUGCCUGGCCAGAACCCAAUAUUUUCUACAACAAUAUUUUAUACAUUUCUUUCUACAUGGAUUAUAUAAAUUGGGCUUUCCAGCAGAAAAAGGAAAAGAAAAAGCAUAUGUCUCAAUGAGAGCACACAAUUAUGAGAAUGGCAACCAUGCAAAGAAAAAUUGCAAGGACUUAGUGCUGAUGAGGAUUUACAGCAACUAAAACUAGAAAUGUAAAAUGAUACAGUAAAACAAUUUAACGGUUUAUUGUAAUGUUAUAUAUACAUUUAUCAUAUUACCAGGAUAUCCACUCCUAGGUCAUUACUAAAGCAAAGUGAAAACUAAUGUUGAAAUGAAAACUUUUUUGUGGCUGUGUAUUGCUAACUUUAUUUUCAAUUGCAAAAAGCUAGAUAUAAACCAGAUGCUUUAUAGCAGUUGAAUAAAUAAGCUGUGGUGCAUCCAUAAAAUAGCAUCCUAGUUGUCAACAACAACAAAAAACAAAUUAUUGAUCGACACCACAGUAUGCAUGAGUCAGACAUGCAUUUCCUUCAGUGAAGGAAGCAAGAUCCAAAAGGCUACAUAUUACAUGAUCCAAUUAUAUGGCAUUGUAGAAAAAGAAAGUUAUAGAGAUUGAUUAUAAUCAAGCUAGGCUUGAUAGCUCAAACCUAUAAUCUCAGCAUGUUGGGAGGCUGAGGUGACAGAGUUGUUUGAGUCAGGGAUUUUAAGAGCAGCCUGAGCAAUAUAACAAGACCUUCCUAAAAAAAGAAGAAGAAAGCAGAAGGAGAAGGAGAAGGGGAGAUGGAGAAAUAGAAGGAGGAGGAGAAAAGGAAGGGGAAGAAAAAAGAGGAGGAGGAAGGAGAAGCAGGAGGAAGAGGAGAAAGAAUAACAAAAAGUAGUAGUAGUUAGGACGAUGAAACAGUUCUGUGUGGUACUCUGAAGAUGGGUAUGUGACUCUAGACAGUUGUCAAAUCUUAUGAAACUGAACAUCACAGAGAAUAAAUUUUCCUCUGCAAAACAACACAAAACAACAAAAUACAUUGAUUUGGAGUAUAUUUAGAUACAAUGUAGAAAAUGUUAAAAGGAGCUUAACCUAAUAGAAAUGUAUUACCUAACCCUAUUAAAGAAGGUUGGAAUGAGGCCAGGCAUGGUUGUUCAUGCCUGUAAUCCCAGCAUUUUGGGAGGCCGAGGCAGGUGGAUCACCUGAGGUCGAGAAUUUGAGACUAGCCUGACCAACAUGGAGAAACCCCAUCUCUACAAAAAACACAAAAUUAGCUGGGUAUGGUGGCACAUGCCUGUAAUCCCAGCUCCUCGGGAGGUUGAGGCAGGAGAAUCACUUGAACCCAGAGGUGUAUGUUAUGAAGAGCCAAGAUCGUGCCAUUGCACUCCAGCCUGGGCCACGAGAGCGAGAACUGCGUCUCAAAAAAAAAAAAAAAAAAAAUGUUGGAAUGAAAGGUCUUAAUUUAAAUCACUUUGAAAAACAGUGUUUUGAUUGAAUACUGCAAGAGUCAAAAACUAUACACAAACUGUAUUGUUGUUUUUUCAUAAGCAUAUGAAUUAGCAAUUUUUAAAACUAUAUGUUGGCGUAUACACACACACAUAGUAAUUACUGCCUGUUUUUUGAACUUGAAAAAUGUUAGCAUCAAAGGGAGAAUUUUAGAAUAAAUGAUGUGAUGCUGGACUGGAGUUGCGCAUGUUUUUUUUUUUUUUUUUUUUGAGACAGUCAUUGUCACCCAGGCUGUAGUGCAGUGGUGCAUUCCUGGCUCACUGAAGCCUCCACCUCCCAGGUUCAAGUGAUUUUCAUGUUUGAGCUUCCUGAGUAACUAGAAUUACAGGUGUGUACCAACUCACCUGACUAAUUUUUGUAUUUUUAGUAAUGAUGGGGUUUCACCAUGUUGGCCAGGCUGGUCUCAAACCCCUGACCUCUUGAUCUGCCCACCUUGACCUUCCAAAGUGCUGGGAUUACAGGUGUGAGCCACCACACCUGGCCUGUUUUUUCAAUAAGACUUAUGACACCCACCUCAGACUUCCAAGUAUCCUGGACCCUCUGGUGAUAUCCCGUCUCUACUUUAAAAAAAAAUACCAAAAAAAAAAAAAAAAAACCCCACCACAGCUCUGUUUUUUGUUAUUUUUUUAAAGUAGAGACAGGGUCUCGCCAUGUUGCCCAAGCUGGUCUUGAACUCUUGAACUCCAGCAGUUUGUCCCUUUUGGCCUUCCAAAGUGCUGGGAUUACAGGCAGUGUAUUACUUGGUAAGAAUUCAUUAAGCUUUGCAUGAAUUAAUGAUUUUCACGUAUAUUUCUGUAUGAAUGUUUUAUAUCAACAAAAAAUUACAUAGUACAUAUUUGCACAAAAUGCUAACUCAUCUCAGAAUAAUGGCAGCAUCUUUUGGUUUGUUUAUGGUGGAACACACUCAGGACAAGAUCAUACAGAUUGUAAUAUUCCAAGAGGAGUAUUAAAGCCCUACCCCUUGGGUGAAACUGUAGGUCUUUUUAUUUUUACCUCAGUUUGGUUCAUGGUAUGUUUUUUAUCUUAAGAGAAUGCAAUUUUUUUUUGUUGUUGUUUGUUUUUUCCAGAAAAUGUCCCCUCACAGCAAUGAUUGCCAAUGCCGAGGCACCUAGCACAGUGUCUUGCUCAGUGGGUACUCAGUAUUUAUGGAACUGGGUUGAUUAAGGCACAAAACAGCAAGGUUGGUUCAGUGAAGAAUAAUUUAGUAAUACUGGUUAGACUAAAAGGCCAUGACUUAGCAGCAAACAUUCUUACAUUCAUUUGAGAAAUAAUUUACAAUUAGGUCACCUAAAAAUGUUAAUUUACAGUGGUGGCAUUUAAGCUUGGCUGCUCUGUCAUCACCUAUACAGAUUAAAAUCACACUGUUGCCCAGGUUCAACUCAAGCAAUUCUGAUUUAAUUAGGGUGUUGCAAUUUGUGUUUAGGGGAUUUUUAACACCACCACCCCCUCCCACCCCCAUGCUGCCCCAAGUGAUUUUUACUUGCAGUCUGGGAUGAAAACAAUUGGUUUAGGGUGAGGGAUGGAUUCACUGUGUGUGAUUAUCAUGAGUGCUGCUGAGAUUUGUCCCAUGGCUGCUUCUGACUUUGGGAUUUUGAAAAGCAGCGCUGCCAUUGUAAAAAUCAAAAGACAACUUCAAGAUGUACUCAAAUACUUUGCUAAACUGCAACAGAAUAAAAUGUCUUCUUAGCUCGGUCUAUAGUCACUUUAAUUCAAGGUAAGAGAUUGUUUCAGGUACAGUAGUUUUAGUAAGUGUUGAAAAUCAUAAAUAGCCUACACAUACCAAGAAACUAUUUUAAUCCUUUGACAUAUUUGACAG
Long non-coding RNA from Pan troglodytes (chimpanzee), 8657 nucleotides. RefSeq lists it as uncharacterized. The transcript is spliced from 4 exons. The record is from RefSeq and is a predicted model, not a curated record. Lineage: Eukaryota; Metazoa; Chordata; Mammalia; Primates; Hominidae.